This 253-nucleotide ribosomal RNA is filed under the name uncultured bacterium. RNAcentral describes it as "partial 16S ribosomal RNA". It matches the Rfam family "Bacterial small subunit ribosomal RNA", at positions 524 to 776 of the family's 1533-position model. The record is from RNAcentral.
UACGUAGGUGGCAAGCGUUGUCCGGAUUUACUGGGCGUCAAGAGCGCGCAGGCGGUCGUGCAAGUCGCGUGUGAAAGCCCCCGGCUCAACUGGGGAGGGUCACGCGAUACUGCUCGACUCGAAGGCAGGAGAGGGAAGUGGAAUUCCCGGUGUAGUGGUGAAAUGCGUAGAUAUCGGGAGGAACACCAGUGGCGAAGGCGACUUCCUGGCCUGUUCUUGACGCUGAGGCGCGAAAGCUAGGGUAGCAAACGGG